RNAcentral lists this ribosomal RNA (254 nucleotides) under uncultured prokaryote. RNAcentral describes it as "partial 16S ribosomal RNA". It matches the Rfam family "Bacterial small subunit ribosomal RNA", at positions 525 to 777 of the family's 1533-position model. The record is from RNAcentral.
ACAGAGACUGCAAGCGUUAUUCGGAUUCACUGGGCGUAAAGGGCGCGUAGGCGGUCAGCACAAGUCAGUUGUGAAAUCUCCGGGCUUAACUCGGAAAGGUCAACUGAUACUGUGCGACUAGAGUGCAGAAGGGGCAACUGGAAUUCUUGGUGUAGCGGUGAAAUGCGUAGAUAUCAAGAGGAACACCUGCGGCGAAGGCGGGUUGCUGGGCUGACACUGACGCUGAUGCGCGAAAGCCAGGGGAGCGAACGGGA